RNAcentral lists this ribosomal RNA (535 nucleotides) under Shigella flexneri. RNAcentral describes it as "partial 23S ribosomal RNA". It matches the Rfam family "Bacterial large subunit ribosomal RNA", at positions 2323 to 2852 of the family's 2925-position model. Lineage: Bacteria; Pseudomonadati; Pseudomonadota; Gammaproteobacteria; Enterobacterales; Enterobacteriaceae. The record is from RNAcentral.
AAUCCUGGUCGGACAUCAGGAGGUUAGUGCAAUGGCAUAAGCCAGCUUGACUGCGAGCGUGACGGCGCGAGCAGGUGCGAAAGCAGGUCAUAGUGAUCCGGUGGUUCUGAAUGGAAGGGCCAUCGCUCAACGGAUAAAAGGUACUCCGGGGAUAACAGGCUGAUACCGCCCAAGAGUUCAUAUCGACGGCGGUGUUUGGCACCUCGAUGUCGGCUCAUCACAUCCUGGGGCUGAAGUAGGUCCCAAGGGUAUGGCUGUUCGCCAUUUAAAGUGGUACGCGAGCUGGGUUUAGAACGUCGUGAGACAGUUCGGUCCCUAUCUGCCGUGGGCGCUGGAGAACUGAGGGGGGCUGCUCCUAGUACGAGAGGACCGGAGUGGACGCAUCACUGGUGUUCGGGUUGUCAUGCCAAUGGCACUGCCCGGUAGCUAAAUGCGGAAGAGAUAAGUGCUGAAAGCAUCUAAGCACGAAACUUGCCCCGAGAUGAGUUCUCCCUGACCCUUUAAGGGUCCUGAAGGAACGUUGAAGACGACGACG